RNAcentral lists this long non-coding RNA (589 nucleotides) under Anas platyrhynchos platyrhynchos (common mallard). RNAcentral's name for it is "lncRNA (ENSAPLG00000030758.1)". The record is from RNAcentral. Lineage: Eukaryota; Metazoa; Chordata; Aves; Anseriformes; Anatidae.
UCUCCUCCCGCGAGCUCUGCGUCUGCAUGAGGGUCUGCCGCACCUGGAGCCGCUGGUUUGUACUGGGAGGCACUGGGAGGGGUUACUGGGAGCACUGGGAGGCGCUGGGAGGGGGACUGGGGUCACUACGGGGGGUUUAGGGUCACGUAGAGGGGAUUUAAGGGCACUUAGAAAGGCUUUAGGGAUGCUUAAAGGUGCUUUGGAGGAGAUUUAGGGGUACUGGGAGCACUGGGAGGGGUUACUGGGUGCACUGGGAGGGGUCCCUGGGGGUGCUCGCCGUCUUCCUCCACCUCUCCUCCCGCGAGCUCUGCGUCUGCAUGAGGGUCUGCCGCACCUGGAGCCGCUGGUUUGUACUGGGAGGCACUGGGAGGCGCUCACUGGGAGGCACUGGGAGUGAUUUGGGGUCACUAGGAUGCAUUUUAGGGUCAUUUUGGGGGAUUUAGGGGCACUUGGAGGGGCUCUAAGGGCACUUAGAAGGGCUUUAGGGUCAUUUAAAGGAGCUAUGGAGGAGAUCUAGGGGUACUGGGAGCACUGGGAAGUGUUACUGGGAGCACUGGGAGGCACUGGGAGGGGUUUUGGGGUCACUACG